This 107-nucleotide small nucleolar RNA is filed under the name Olea europaea subsp. europaea. RNAcentral describes it as "Plant small nucleolar RNA R71". It matches the Rfam family "Plant small nucleolar RNA R71". Rfam says of the family: R71 is a member of the C/D box family of snoRNAs containing the C (UGAUGA) and D (CUGA) box motifs. Multiple nearly identical copies of this snoRNA have been identified in Arabidopsis, and it is thought to function as a 2'-O-ribose methylation guide for 18S ribosomal RNA. Lineage: Eukaryota; Viridiplantae; Streptophyta; Magnoliopsida; Lamiales; Oleaceae. The record is from Rfam by way of RNAcentral.
AUCCCAUGAUUUGUACAUUUUUUCAUAAGCUCUUUGAAUCUGUUCCAUGCUUCGUGAUAGCUCCUUCCAUCUCUCUGUUGAAAAGUUUGAAUCUAAUUUUUACUACU